CCCGGCCGUCGGCGCGCGCGUCGCUCUCGCUGACCAGGGACGUCGCCGCCGUGGGAUCCGGCGGGGAGGAAGGACGCAAGCGUGCCGGUGUGCCGCUGCUCACCCGCGCCGACCAUCACCGCCCCGCGCAGUGUUUAUUUUCUGACCCCUGGUUAGUCCAAUUCUACUAAUUCCUACUUUCAUGGCUCUACAGCAGCAACAACCGGUCGCCAGCUCCUCUCCUCGUGCCUCCGCGCCACUGCUCCUGCCGUUUAGACCAAUUUUUUUGCUGGCAAUAUAGGGAUGCCAUAACAAUAAUCCCAUGGAUAUGAUAAUUUUCAAUAAUCCCAUGGAUAUGAUCAUUUUAAAUUGAUCAAUAAUUCUCAGUUGUAUGGAUGGUUGAUGCGUGGCGGAGGUGGAGGAGGCGGUUGUGGGGAAGCCCGUGGGAAGAAUCUUCCCUGGUUUUGGAAGGUAAAAACAAAUCCCUUGCUUCCAUCAAUAUCCUUAUGCAAGUAUUUUGGCUGAUCAUUUCUUUUUGCAGAGAUGUUGAGAAUUAGUUACAAAGUUUGGUUUGAAUGCUGAGAAUGAUAUAAUACACACCCUUGCAUUCUUAGCUGGUGCCAUGGUUUGGUCACAGGUACUAAUGAGAUCUAAUGAGAUAACCACCGUCUUGGUUUUGUAUAUUGUUAGCUGUGAUCUAAUGAGAUUAUUAUUUUUCAGAAAUGAAGAAAUACCCAUUUUGAGCUAUAUAAUUUUGAAUUUCAAUGGGAUUUCGCAAAACUAAAAACUAGGUUGUGCUUCCUUUAAUUUAAACUACAUACUUGAUUAUCCAUAUUUUCAUAUGAUUUGUUUGUGCUUUGACACUAUUAUGUAAAUAAAUUAACCUCAAAAAAUAUAUUUGCUAAGAUCAACAUCAUUUUACCUA
Panicum virgatum (switchgrass) is the source of this 904-nucleotide long non-coding RNA. RefSeq lists it as uncharacterized. The transcript is spliced from 2 exons. The record is from RefSeq and is a predicted model, not a curated record. NCBI's taxonomy places the organism in Eukaryota, Viridiplantae, Streptophyta, Magnoliopsida, Poales, Poaceae.